Molecule: long non-coding RNA, 873 nt
Organism: Herpailurus yagouaroundi (jaguarundi)
Lineage: Eukaryota; Metazoa; Chordata; Mammalia; Carnivora; Felidae
Exons: 3
Source: RefSeq, a predicted model, not a curated record
UACAGCUUGAAUGUGGUCACUAAAAACUUCAAGUCCUGCGUGUGGCUCCGGCUUCAUGGGAUUCAGGUUCCAGAUGUGGGUGGACCCUUCACCAGCUGUUUACUUGAAGCAUCACACCGGGAGGCAUGAAAAAACAUGGCAAGUUUACUGCCAUAGAGAAGAUUGCUUCCACCGUGUGAGGCAUCACAGACCUGCCUGCCAGGAAGCCCUCCACAGGACCCCCACGGAGGACCCCCCUACCCACACAAGCACUGCCCUGGAUACGGUGUAUAUGGACUGCCUACACAACACCGGCCCACAUGGGUGCGGUGUAACUAAGGGCCAGCUUCCCCCCUCCUCUGACUUCAAUCUGUCUGAGCUCACAGUUCCCGUUCCUCAUAGUCAACAGGGAAGCCCCGUGUGUGACCGUCAUUUCUGGACUUUGAGAACUCUGGGCGUAUGAGGUUCUGGCUUGAUGCUAGGCCUUUGCAGCCUCUUCCGGAAACCUGGGACCCAAGCCAGCGAUGUUUCAUUUUUACUUUUCCAUACUCUGUCCGUGUAGGGACCGGGUGAGGUUUCUAGGCCUUUCUAGAAUUUCAGGAAAUAAUGUAGCUGGGUCUCUUGCCUCCUGCUGUGUUGUCUUAUACAUUAGACCAUAUUACCUGCUCCGUAGUUGAAGUAGGAAAGAUACAUAUUUACAUGGAAGAAGUCCUAAUUGUGGCAACACGAAAUAAGCAAAGAAAGCACGGCUCUUAGAGAAAGAGAGCCAGAUUCAGAUCUCGGGGAAGCUGCUGCUUAGCAGAGCGUUAUUCCUUUUAUAUAUUCCUUUAAUUAAAUCCUCUAGCUCCUACCUUCCACGCAAUGGGACCUUAACAGAAGCCUCAAAGAUCCAAG